GAAUUUACGUCGGCGGUGUAGUGGUAGCACGCAUCUCCGGUAUGGAUGAAACGCGGGUUCAACUCCCGCUUAGGUCG
Parelaphostrongylus tenuis is the source of this 77-nucleotide non-coding RNA. NCBI's taxonomy places the organism in Eukaryota, Metazoa, Nematoda, Chromadorea, Rhabditida, Metastrongylidae. The record is from the annotation of a GenBank genome assembly.